GAAUCCUUCUUGGUCCUGGAGUGAUUAUAUGGGAAUGUCUGCUUUUGCUGACUUUUGUAAUGGAGACACAGCCAAAGAUGAGCACCACUGUUUGCAAAUAACUUUUAGUGAGGAAAAGAGUGGAUGCUUAGAGAGCAUGGACUGUGAAACUGAGCUCCCGUCUAUCUGUGGAAACAUUAUUAUGUAAUUGUGAAUCAACUCUAUAAUGCAUCAGUAAAAAGCACAAUGAUCUGCAUUUUUCUUUCUCUGUAUUUCCACACCAUCGCUAUGAUGCAAACAAUCAGGCAUCAUGUGCAAUGAAUUGGAGCUGAAUUUUCUGUAUGAUUAAAAGAAAGCUUUCUCCAGACCUUUACUUUGUAGAGUGAACUGUAUCUCAUUCUUAAAUUAAAACUAUUAGCAUUGCAA
Molecule: long non-coding RNA, 405 nt
Organism: Oreochromis aureus
Lineage: Eukaryota; Metazoa; Chordata; Actinopteri; Cichliformes; Cichlidae
Exons: 2
Source: RefSeq, a predicted model, not a curated record